UGCAGUCGAACGGUGAUGACAGGGCUUGCCUUGUCUGAUCAGUGGCGAACGGGUGAGUAACACGUGAGUAACCUGCCCCAGACUCUGGAAUAACCUCGGGAAACCGUGGCUAAUACCGGAUACGAAACGGACCCGCAUGGGUGCUGUUUGGAAAGUUUUUCGGUCUGGGAUGGACUCGCGGCCUAUCAGCUUGUUGGUGAGGUAAUGGCUCACCAAGGCGACGACGGGUAGCCGGCCUGAGAGGGCGACCGGCCACACUGGGACUGAGACACGGCCCAGACUCCUACGGGAGGCAGCAGUGGGGAAUAUUGCACAAUGGGCGAAAGCCUGAUGCAGCGACGCCGCGUGAGGGAUGACGGCCUUCGGGUUGUAAACCUCUUUCAGCAGGGAAGAAGCGAAAGUGACGGUACCUGCAGAAGAAGCACCGGCUAACUACGUGCCAGCAGCCGCGGUAAUACGUAGGGUGCGAGCGUUGUCCGGAAUUAUUGGGCGUAAAGAGCUUGUAGGCGGUUUGUCGCGUCUGCCGUGAAAAUUCGAGGCUCAACCUCGAACUUGCGGUGGGUACGGGCAGACUAGAGUGUGGUAGGGGAGACUGGAAUUCCUGGUGUAGCGGUGAAAUGCGCAGAUAUCAGGAGGAACACCGAUGGCGAAGGCAGGUCUCUGGGCCACUACUGACGCUGAGAAGCGAAAGCAUGGGGAGCGAACAGGAUUAGAUACCCUGGUAGUCCAUGCCGUAAACGUUGGGAACUAGGUGUGGGUCUCAUUCCACGAGAUCCGUGCCGCAGCUAACGCAUUAAGUUCCCCGCCUGGGGAGUACGGCCGCAAGGCUAAAACUCAAAGGAAUUGACGG
Molecule: ribosomal RNA, 850 nt
Filed under: Phycicoccus sp. 1056G43
Lineage: Bacteria; Bacillati; Actinomycetota; Actinomycetes; Micrococcales; Intrasporangiaceae
Description: bacterial SSU rRNA
Rfam family: Bacterial small subunit ribosomal RNA
Source: RNAcentral